RNAcentral lists this ribosomal RNA (449 nucleotides) under Mesomycoplasma ovipneumoniae ATCC 29419. RNAcentral describes it as "Mycoplasma ovipneumoniae ATCC 29419 partial 23S ribosomal RNA". It matches the Rfam family "Bacterial large subunit ribosomal RNA", at positions 1438 to 1893 of the family's 2925-position model. The record is from RNAcentral. Lineage: Bacteria; Bacillati; Mycoplasmatota; Mycoplasmoidales; Metamycoplasmataceae.
CCGAUACUUGUUAAAAAAAUGAUGGAAUGACGAAAAAAGAUAGUUUUACCACUUACUGGAUUGUGGGGUAAGCAGUUAGAAAGUUAUGCAGGCAAAUCCGUAUAACAUUAAUUUUGAGCUGUGACGCAUAGGGAAGAGGAGACUCAAGUACCGAAUUAAAUGAUUCUAUGUUUCCAAGAAAAGUUUCUAGUGUUAAUUUUUUAACAACCUGUACCGAGAACGGACACACGUCCCCAAGAUGAGUAUUCUAAGGCGAGCGAGAAAACCAAUGUUAAGGAACUCUGCAAAAUUAUCCCGUACGUUCGCAAGAAGGGAUGCCCUUUUUUAAAGGGCCACAGUAAAACGAGGGUGGCAACUGUUUAUCAAAAACACAGCUCUCUGCAAAGGUGCAAACCGAAGUAUAGAGGGUGAAGCCUGCCCAGUGCCCGAAGGUUAAGCGGAGAUGUUAG